ACUUAUUCCAUCCUUUGGUCGGGUGUAAUGCCAUAUUACUGGCUUAUUACAUUACGCCGCUAUUCCUAAAAUCUGCUGCUUUCUAUUACCGAAGGAAAGCUCAGUUUUGCUUCCGUUUUGGUUCUCCGGAUUUCAUCUGCCCUGUUUUACCCUCCCAACCCUAAAGGCACCUCCACCCUCUCCCUCCCAACAUCAAACAGAACCGCCCCUUACAUUUUCCUUCCUUCUUUUGUUCCUGAAGGUAACUGCAAAAAAAAAUUGGAGGACCAGCCACACAAGUUCAUCGCUUUCGAGCAGGAACUAGGGCUUUAAGAGAUUCGGAAAUACCAGCUUCAUCAGAUAAGUCUCAAGAUUUCCUUGAUCUCUAUCCUUUCUGGAAACUGAAAUGAAGGGUACUGUGUGUUGAUAGCUCUGAUUGGUGGAGGGGGACUGUGAAUCCUUCACCAUGUUGUGUAUUGAAUAUGCUGGCCCCUUUCGGUCUGUUUUUUGUUGGCAACUGGCAAGAUUUGUAACCGUUGAGGGGACUUGUUGGAUUUGACUUUUGUCUUCUAUAACAUGAAAGCAUCACCAUUUCUGGUAUCAAACACAUCAUCCUUCCCUUGAGUUUCUUUUCACUUUUCUACACAAACAGUAACUUGCUCAAAUACUUUGGAGUUAUGGCAAAGACAAGUAAAUGAAAUGGUGGUAGGCCUAGGGUGCAUGGUCUAAUCUUUCCAGCAUUGUCGAUUCUUGACAAAUAGGGCCGAUCCUCCAUCAUCCAUGUUUUUCUUUAUUUCAUUAGUUAUAAUGUCUCAGCCCUUCUUCCCCUUGGGAUUGGCUCCCACCACCCAUAGUAGCCUCCUAUAGCUGUUAGUGUAAGGCUACUCAAUCAUCUUCACACUGAGUUUUGGGGGGUAACUUUAGAGUAUCUCUUUUCAGAACAGACAGCAAAUGAUCCAUCAAUUCUUGACAAAUAGGGCCGAAGGUGGUUAGAUCCUCCAUCAUCCAUGUUUUUCUUUGUUUCAUUAGUUAUAAUGUCUCAGCCCUUCUUCCCCUUGGGAUUGGCCCCCACCACCCAUAGUAGCCUCCUAUAGCUGUUAGUGUACGGCUACUCAAUCAUCUUCACACUGAGUUAUGGGGGGUAACUUUAGAGUAUCUCUUUUCAGAACAGACAGCAAAGGAUCCAAUCGGCUAUCGGUUCAGAGGACCUCUACUCACAACGGUCUCUUUGUUUAAGUGUAAAGUGUUGUCCAAAAUCGACAUGUCAUUGGAAGAGCUUCCAUUGUUCAAAAUUCCAUUGUUCUUGAUUACAUCCUUCCAGCCUCUGAAUGUCUUAAUUUUAUUGAAUCCCUAAAUUUCUUUUGUACAGAUAAGGUAAAAGUAAGAUUACAGAACCAGCAUAUGAUAAAAAUACCUCCAGAUGAAGCACAAGUAGCUAUAAAUCAUUUGUUUGUAUUAAGUGUCCAUGUGUUGUAUGUAUCAAGAUAGGGUAUCAUUUGUUUAUAUUUAAGUGUCCAUUUGUUGCACGUAUCAAGAUAGGGUAUCAAAACCAGCAUAUCGUAAGAUGUACAAUGAUCCACUUAAAUCCUGUGAGUUGUACAUGUUGCUUUUGUUGAAGAGCCAAACAUUUUUCAUUUUUUAUGCUGUCAUAUUGCCAUGUAUUCACAUACAAGCCUUCUAUAUUCUUCUUAAUUCAGGGGCUAUGCAUUUAAGCAAUUAAUUGAACUUAAUUUUUAUUAAGUAAUGGUACCUGUAACUAGUAAUACCCAUAGUUCUAAAGAUGUCUGAAUUUGAUCACAAGGUAUGGGUGCUUUCUUAUUCUACUUUUAUGCCUCCAGCUUUAACUAGUAAAGCACAUGAAGCUUGUAGGUGAGUUAAAUUUGUUUUAGUAAAUAAAUCUAUCUCAAAUUGCUAAAAUUUGAGCAAAUGGAGGAGACACCUAUUCAUAUUCACAUUUAGCAAAGAUCCAAUGUUGGUGAUGGUUCUGCUUCCCAUUCUAAUCUUUCUUUUCUGAUAGAGCCUAUACUGUUAGAAACUUUAUUAUUACAGAGAGGAAAGUCCUUGUUAAGUAUUUUGAAUUCUCAAGAGUGAAGAUGGUUUAUUUAGUGAACUGUGGAGAUUAAUAAGAAUUUUCAUUUGGUGGAUAGGCUAUUCUAAAUGUGAAUUUAUAAACAGAUGGGACUGCUUCUGUUAUAUUAGGCCAUUAGACAAACCUAAGAUACUGCCACAUCUUUUGUUUUCAAAAAGAUGUAACCAGGUUAGUCUAGAGUUAUUCCUGAUAGUAUGAAGGUGGCUUUCUUUAACUAGGACUGUAUUUCGCCUGCUCCCUCAUAAUAUAUCUUUUCUCUAUCUUGUAUGAUUUUCUAAAUUCGGACCAAUGUCUAUAUGCAGGCAUUACUUGAGGAGAGGAUCACUACUCAGGCAUUAGCUGGUAAACGUCUAGUUCAGAUGUCAAGGGAAAUGAAUGAAAGUCAUGGUAGCCCUAUUAAUGAUGUACAAAGCUAGCUCCUCAUUUUCAAGAAGUCACACAUGAUGGAACAUAUCCUAAAGUUGCUGCUGUAAGCUCCAAAGGGACCAAAGCUAGAGCAAAAUGAAGGCGAACUACUGGGAGAUUGAAGUUCUUUAUGUUGCAUGGAUUCGCCAUCGAGUCCUUCUGCUGCUCACUCAGCUGCUCCAACGGUGGUGUCGACACUUGCGAAUAGUAUUCUUGAUAGCAAGUUUUUCUCUACCAAGAAAAUGAUGAUGGGGUGCUGCAAGAAAAUGCUGAAUUCGUUAAGUUCGAGCAACAAGAUAGUGCUCUUGCUUCAUGGCUUUUAUCGUCGGUAAGCCCUGAUGUUCUUCCUCAUCUCAUUGGACUUGUUACUAGUUCUCAGAUUUGGAAUUCUAUUGUAAACUUGUAUGGUAGCAGAACUACGUCUCGACUAAUGUUUUAUCGUCGAGCAUUACAUUCACAACGCAAAGGUGAUAUGUUUAUGAAAGAAUUUUUGCUAAAAAUUAAGUCCUAUUGUGAUAACCUUGCUAGCUGUGGAGAGGCCAUUAGUGCCCAUAAACAUAUCACUGCUAUUCUCAAUGGACUAUCGUUCGAGUAUGAACCCAUUGUUUCAAUCAUUCUUGCUGGUCAACAUGCUUACACCGUUUAGGGUGUCACAACGAUGCUACUGGAUGCAGAAGCUAGACAACAGGUUAUAUUGGCCGAAACUCCUAGUUCUGCCAACCUGGUUUCGCAACAACCUGCACAACCCAGCACUGAUACUUCCGUGCCAACGUAUCGUGCGUCAAACUCUAGGGGUCGUGGGCGUGGACGAUCAUCUGGGGCUCGUAUUGAAUGCCAUCUGUGUGGAAAAACUGGACACUUGGUUGAUCGAUGCUAUCAUCGAUUUGACGCGUCUUACAAAAGCAACAACUAUAGACCCCCUCCGUAAGCAAAUGUCUGCAUGCUUACACCUGGCUCUUCUCCAUGGACACCGCCCUCUAUGUCAGCCAUGUCACUAGUGACUCAACCUUCCCCCAACUGGUCUCUUCUGUCACAACCUAUGAAUCCCUGGACUAGUUCAUACAUGAGUCAUCCUACACAACACGUGGUUCCAUCUGCAUCUGCUGUUUCUUCUCCACAGGCGUUAAUUGCUACACUCGACAUUGUAGGGGAUCCUGCUUGGUAUCCUGACUCUGGGGCCACACACCACCUCACUCACUCAGCAGCCUCUCUUGGAGAAAAUCCCUCGCACAAUGGACCAGGUAUGGUGUAUGUUGGAAAUGGUAGUUCUCUUCCUGUUAUUUGCUCUAGUCAGUCCUCCUUUAUCACUAAGGCACGACCACUUCACAUGAAGUCAAUUUUAUAUACCCCUGGUGUUACUAAAAAUUUACUGUCUGUAUCUAAAGGUGAGUUUGGAUGGGCAAUUGGGUGCGGUGCGGUGCGUUUAACUUACUUUUUGUCUCACGCUACAGUAUCGCUACAGUAUCUAAUCUCACUGCCACCGCUGUUUUUACACUAACCGCAGGUAAAUGCACCUCCCAUCCAAACUCACCCUAAGUUCACCAGAGACAACCAAGUGAUGUUUGAGUUCCUACCGUCACAAUGUCAGGUACGUGAUCUCAGGACCAGGGAGAUACUUCUAUGAGGAUCAGUUCAACAUGGUCUCUACAAGUUUCAUUUGAAUGAUGGCUUCAGAAAGUUUCAAACAAUGCCCACAGCACACUGUUUUACAGCAAAAAGUGUUACUCCUCUGAGCGUGUGGCACUCUAGACUAGGACAUCCUUAUAAAAAUGUGUUGCUCAAGGCUUUACAGCAUUGUAACUUGUCAUUUGAUGUGAAUAAAGAUGAGUUUUUCUGUGUUGCAUGUCACCUAGGCAAGGAGCACAAACAAUCGUUCUCUCCAUCGAUAUCUCAGUAUUCUGUUCCGUUACAAUUGGUUGUUGCUGAUGUUUGGGGGCCAGCCCCAGUUAUCUCAAAUGGUUUUUGUUAUUAUGUAAUUUUUACUGAUGCCUGCACCAGAUAUUCGUGGGUUUAUUUUUUGCACAAGAAGUCUGAAGUUUGACAGUUUUCCUUCAGUUUCACAGACAAGUAGAGCGCACCUUUGGAGUUCAACUACAAACAUUGCAAACGGAUGGGGGGUGAAUUUCAGUCUCUCAGGCUGUAUCUUGUUCAACAUGGCAUUGUUCACCGGUUCACCUGUCCCUACACUUAAGCUCAAAACGGAAUUAUCGAACACAAGCAUCGACAAAUGGUUGAAACAGGUCUUGUUAUGCUUGCGCAUGCUUUCAUGCCAAUGUCUUACUGGAGUGAUGCCUUUAGCUGCGCCAUUUACCUCAUUAACAGACUCUCCUCUGCUCCCCUACAUUUUAUCUCUCCUUUUGAAAAACUUCAUCGAGCCAAGCCUAAUUAUAGCUUUCUCAAAACCUUUGGGUGCCUGUGUUUCCCUAAUCUAAGGUCGUACAACCCUCACAAAAUCCAGUUUCGCUCCACUCCUUGUACCUUCAUCGAUUACUCUCUCAUUCACAAAGGAUAUCGGUGUCGAGAUGGCACUGGCCGAAUAUACAUCACCCGCCAUGUCACCUUUCAUGAAAACAACUUUCCAUUUAAGACUAUCGCCACUCACUCUCCUCCAACCAACAACCGUCAGUCAACUAGCUCCAAAUUGCUCAUUCUAAAUUCCAGCCCGUGCUCUCCCAAUAAUUACUCACCCACCACUCAAGGUAACACUCCUUUUACAUCACCCGCUAUGUCCACUUUGCCCAUUUCAACUCCUUUUGUCCAACUCAACAUGCAGUCCACAUCUCCUGUCCUCACUAACCCUCUACCCUCACCAAGUGUCUCCACAAGUCCCUUACCUCCAUGCCCAAUACCACAAAACUCCCAUCCAAUACCCGCAGCAAAGCUGACAUAUUCAAGCCAAAAGCCUACUUAAGCUGUAUGAGUGAGGCACCUGAUACACCAACUAGUAUUCAUGCAGCUAUGACACACUCUUGUUGGCGUGAUGCGGUUCAUGCUGAGCUAGAAGCUCUUGUCCGCAACAACACCUGGAGUCUAUGUCUGUUACCGUUACAUCGUCGCACCGUUGGAUGUAAGUGGUUAAUUAAAAUCAAGAAAAAGGCUGAUGGUACUGUUGAUCACUAUAAAGCUCGUUUGGUAGCCAAUAGCUACUCUCAGCAUGCAGGGACUGACUUCCGAGACAUGUUUAGCCCAGUGGUUCGGGCAGUCACCAUGAGAACAGUUCUCGCUGUUGUCGUAAUGAAGGGAUGGCCUCUUAGGCAAGUCGAUGUGAACAACGCCUUCUUAAACGGUGAACUAUCUGAGGACAUAUUCAUGGACCAGCCACCUGGUUUUGAAGUGUCAGAACCCAAAAACCAGCGGUUAGUAUGCAAACUGAACAAAGCCUUAUAUGGGCUGCGGCAAGCUGCAAGGGCAUGAUUUUACACGCUUAAACAAUUUUUGGUCAGCCAAUUAGGUUUUCAUGCGUCUAAAGCUGACCCGUCCCUGUUCAUUCGAGUUACUGGUAAUAGCCAAAUACUACUCAUGGCUUACGUUGAUGAUAUAGUUCUCAAAGGCAGUUCGAGUGCAGAUAUUGACAGUGUGAUAAGUCAACUUCACAAUUGAUUUGCCCUCAAAGACUUGGGAUCUCUCAAUUUUUUUCUCAGCAUUGAUGUAUAGUACACCAAUCACAGCUUGUUCCUCAGUCAGAAGAAGUAUGUGCAAGAGAUCCUAUCGAAGACAGGUAUAACAGGUGCAGCUCCCACUCCAACACCUAUGGUUAGUCUCCCUAAGCUUACUGUCACUUCCGAUAGUCAAAAGCCUAUUGAUGGUCCGCUUUAUCGCAGCACUAUUGGGAUGCUUCAAUAUCUCUGCAUUACACGGCCUGAUCUCUCUUACUGUGUUGACAAACUCAGCCAUUAUAUGAACUCUCCUAGUGAAUCUCACUGGAAGGUAGCUAAACGAGUGCUACGCUAUCUGGUGGGCACUAUGGAACAUGGGUUAGUUUUUACACAGGGACAAUUUCGGUUGACUUGCUACUCUGAUGCUGACUGGGCAUCUUCAGUUGAAGACAAACGCUCCACUACAGGCUACGUGGUGUACUUGAGGCCUAACCCGAUAGCCUAGUGCUCAAAGAAGCAGGCCGUUGUCUCCAGGUCGUCCUCUGAAGCUGAGUAUCGUAGCUUGACCAAUUGCGUCUCUGAGCUGGUGUGGGUUCAACAACUGUUAAAGGAAAUAGGGGUGUCUGUUGAACAAACGCCAGUGGUCUGGUGUGAUAACACCUCCACUGUUUCUAUGGCAGCAAAUCCAACUCAUCACGCACGAGUCAAGCAUGUUGAGAUCGACCACCACUUUGUUCGAGAGAAUGUUCUUGAUGGUCUGCUACAAGUCAACUAUGUGCCAUCAGUCAACUAAAUUGCUGAUGUUCUUACAAAACCAGUUCCCCCCAAACACUUUUCUGAUUUUCGGCAAGCUCUUCGAGUCACAACAAACAACUCAAUUUCAAAAGAUUUUGACAACCAGGAGAAUGUUAGAAUAUAUCAAAUAUAGUCAGUUGACAAUUAAGAUAGUAGUUAGUUUGUUAGUAGUUAUUCUGGUAAAGAAACUAACAGCUCCUCAGCUACUGCUAUAAAUGAUGUAUCGAGCCAUUAUGAUUGUUGAAUGAAAAAGUAUAUGCAUUUCAAGUAUUAAACCUUCUUAGGUUAUACUUUAACA
Long non-coding RNA from Gossypium raimondii (Peruvian cotton), 7162 nucleotides. RefSeq lists it as uncharacterized. The record is from RefSeq and is a predicted model, not a curated record. The transcript is spliced from 6 exons. Lineage: Eukaryota; Viridiplantae; Streptophyta; Magnoliopsida; Malvales; Malvaceae.